CGGGGUGCACCAGGCGCGAAAACUUUACCAUGCCGGCAACGGCGAUAAGGGAACCUCGAGUGACAGGUUACUAGUCUGGCUGUCCCGAUGCCUAAAAAGCAUUGCAUAGCAAGGGCCGGGCAAGACCGGUGCCAGCCGCCGCGGUAACACCGGCGGCUCGAGUGGUAACCGAUAUUAUUGAGUCUAAAGGGUCUGUAGCCGGCCGGAUAAGUCUCUUGGGAAAUCCGGCAGCUCAACUGUCGGGCUUUCAGGAGAUACUGUCUGGCUCGAGACCGGGAGAGGUGAGAGGUACUUCAGGGGUAGGAGUGAAAUCUUGUAAUCCUUGAAGGACCACCAGUGGCGAAGGCGUCUCACCAGAACGGACCUGACGGCGAGGGACGAAAGCUAGGGGCACGAACCGGAUUAGAUACCCGGGUAGUCCUAGCCGUAAACGAUACUCGCUAGGUGUCAGCCACGGUGCGACCGUGGUCGGUGCCGUAGGGAAGCCGUGAAGCGAGCCACCUGGGAAGUACGACCGCAAGGUUGAAACUUAAAGGAAUUGGCGGGGGAGCAC
This 553-nucleotide ribosomal RNA is filed under the name uncultured archaeon. RNAcentral's name for it is "bacterial SSU rRNA". It matches the Rfam family "Archaeal small subunit ribosomal RNA", at positions 326 to 879 of the family's 1478-position model. The record is from RNAcentral.